This 667-nucleotide ribosomal RNA is filed under the name Salmonella enterica subsp. enterica serovar Weltevreden. RNAcentral describes it as "partial 23S ribosomal RNA". It matches the Rfam family "Bacterial large subunit ribosomal RNA", at positions 584 to 1251 of the family's 2925-position model. The record is from RNAcentral. Lineage: Bacteria; Pseudomonadati; Pseudomonadota; Gammaproteobacteria; Enterobacterales; Enterobacteriaceae.
UUUACCUGUGUGACUGCGUACCUUUUGUAUAAUGGGUCAGCGACUUAUAUUCUGUAGCAAGGUUAACCGCAUAGGGGAGCCGGAGGGAAACCGAGUCUUAACCGGGCGUUAAGUUGCAGGGUAUAGACCCGAAACCCGGUGAUCUAGCCAUGGGCAGGUUGAAGGUUGGGUAACACUAACUGGAGGACCGAACCGACUAAUGUUGAAAAAUUAGCGGAUGACCUGUGGCUGGGGGUGAAAGGCCAAUCAAACCGGGAGAUAGCUGGUUCUCCCCGAAAGCUAUUUAGGUAGCGCCUCGUGAAUUCAUCUCCGGGGGUAGAGCACUGUUUCGGCUAGGGGGCCAUCCCGGCUUACCAACCCGAUGCAAACUGCGAAUACCGGAGAAUGUUAUCACGGGAGACACACGGCGGGUGCUAACGUCCGUCGUGAAGAGGGAAACAACCCAGACCGCCAGCUAAGGUCCCAAAGUCAUGGUUAAGUGGGAAACGAUGUGGGAAGGCCCAGACAGCCAGGAUGUUGGCUUAGAAGCAGCCAUCAUUUAAAGAAAGCGUAAUAGCUCACUGGUCGAGUCGGCCUGCGCGGAAGAUGUAACGGGGCUAAACCAUGCACCGAAGCUGCGGCAGCGACGCUUAUGCGUUGUUGGGUAGGGGAGCGUUCUGUAAGCCUG